AUCGGAAGUGCGAAUGCUGACAUGAGUAGCGAUAAAAGGGAGUGAAAGACUCCCUCGCCGAAAACCCAAGGUUUCCUGUGCAACGUUAAUCGGCGCAGGGUGAGUCGGCCCCUAAGGUGAGGCAGAAAUGCGUAACUGAUGGGAAACUGGUUAAAAUUCCAGUACCUUUGUUCAAUGCGAUGUGGGGACGAAGAAGGUUAGCUCAGCCGGGUGUUGGAUGUCCCGGUUCAAGCGUGUAGAUAUGCUGUUUAGGUAAAUCCGAAUGGCUUAGUUGAGACGUGAUAACGCAACACUCUUAGGAGUGCCAAGUGAGUGAUACCAUGCUUUCAGGAAAAGCCACUAAGCUUCAGUUGAAUAGAGACCGUACCGUAAACCAACACAGGUGGGUAGGAUGAGAAUUCUAAGGCGCUUGAGAGAACUCAGGAGAAGGAACUCGGCAAAAUAGCACCGUAACUUCGGGAAAAGGUGUGCCCUUGUAUGUGUAGCGCCUAGCGCGUGAAGCAGAAUAGGGUUGCGAAUGAAUUGGUGG
RNAcentral lists this ribosomal RNA (529 nucleotides) under uncultured bacterium. RNAcentral describes it as "bacterial LSU rRNA". It matches the Rfam family "Bacterial large subunit ribosomal RNA", at positions 1281 to 1793 of the family's 2925-position model. The record is from RNAcentral.